UACGUAGGUGGCAAGCGUUGUCCGGAAUUAUUGGGCGUAAAGCGCGCCCAGGCGGCCUUUUAAGUCUGAUGUGAAAGCCCACGGCUCAACCGUGGAAGGUCAUUGGAAACUGAAAGGCUUGAGUACAGAAGAGGAAAGCGGAAUUCCACGUGUAGCGGUGAAAUGCGUAGAGAUGUGGAGGAACACCAGUGGCGAAGGCGGCUUUCUGGUCUGUAACUGACGCUGAGGCGCGAAAGCGUGGGGAGCAAACAGG
Molecule: ribosomal RNA, 253 nt
Filed under: uncultured bacterium
Lineage: Bacteria
Description: partial 16S ribosomal RNA
Rfam family: Bacterial small subunit ribosomal RNA
Source: RNAcentral